CCCCUAGAUGUUCUGGGCCGCACGCGCGCUACACUGAACAGUUCAACAAGUCUUAACCUUGGCCGAUAGGUCUGGGUAAUCUUUGAACGCUGUUCGUGAUUGGGAUAGACCUUUGCAAUUAUGGGUCUUCAACGAGGAAUUCCUAGUAAACGCAAGUCAUCAGCUUGCAUUGAUUACGUCCCUGCCCUUUGUACACACCGCCCGUCGCACCUACCGAUUGAAUGGUCCAGUGAAAUCUCGGGACGGCGGCUUGGUCGCUUGCGUCCGACUGCUGAAACUUGAUUAAACCAUAUCAUUUAGAGGAAGGUGAAGUCGUANCA
This 320-nucleotide ribosomal RNA is filed under the name uncultured eukaryote. RNAcentral describes it as "partial 18S ribosomal RNA". It matches the Rfam family "Eukaryotic small subunit ribosomal RNA", at positions 1470 to 1796 of the family's 1831-position model. The record is from RNAcentral.